Long non-coding RNA from Corticium candelabrum, 2171 nucleotides. RefSeq lists it as uncharacterized. Lineage: Eukaryota; Metazoa; Porifera; Homoscleromorpha; Homosclerophorida; Plakinidae. The record is from RefSeq and is a predicted model, not a curated record. The transcript is spliced from 4 exons.
GGACCUGGCAACACUCUCAGUAGAGCCUUCCUUCACCAGUUGCUGUCGUUGGUAGUGAAAGGAAGUCUAGAGGCGUCGAUUUGACAAUGUAGGGCGUGUGUCAGACUGCUUGACUUCGUGGAAAGACGGCGAAAGUUGGGGUGAUUUGUCGCUGUGGCGACCGUAGCGCCUUCCUUUGUCAAUUUUGUCCACGGAAAGGCCCCGGCCAGCAACCAAAUGUUGAUCACCCUACGUGCACAGAAUAGGAUGAGGAACAUGGCGCUUAGCGACCGGAAGUUUGUGGUUUUCAAGUCGUCGUUAUUGCCCGGUGAUUCAUCGUUUUCAAGGUAUUCACAUUUUUUUGAAUUUGGUAGGCAUUAUAGCAUGCCGUCGUGGCGUUGUAAGGUGCUUGGUGGUGAUUUCAGGUACUUGUGGGAUAAUUUAUUGAGGCUUGUCAACGCGUUACAGUGUGGGAGCCCAACUUUUGAGCCUCCCCUGCAUUUUGUCCAAGGGUCAGAAGACUAGUUAGGGCUCUCUUAGUGCUGUUCAGAUGUAAAUCUUUUGUUUACCGCUAGUCUUUUAGAAUCCUCGUCCUCUGGUAGUGUAUAGAGUACUUAGCAAUAUCUGCAUUUCGCCUUGCAUGCCAAUUGUUGUAGGCGGGGCAUACACAAGUUAGUGCUAAGCUUUACCAGCUGCAUUCUGUGCCAUUGUUGCACGUGGGAACGCUGGCAAUUGCGAGUCGUGUGUACUCCGAGUCGUCUUCAGUGGCUGCUUGGUCUGUUUGGCUUUUUAGUGAAAAUGAUGUAAUAUCUGUUGUCUGGGAUACUGCUCAUGGAGCCAAGACUGCUAGCAUGGUUGAGAUGAACUACCACUGUAGCUGUCGCACUGGUUGUGUUGGAAGUAGGGGAGGCUGCAAGAGCUGUUUUCAAAACUGCCAACCUUGCACCGUCCGUUGUAGAUGCAGAGGCAACUGUCAGAAUCCCCACAACAGAAAUGGUGUGUGUACUCGCUGUAGGGCUAGAGUACAUGAUAGAAUUAGUGUACUGGUGUGGGCUAAUGAGACACUUAUUACACGUCCAAGUUAUUCAAACCAGGACCCACAGUUGCUGGAUGUUGUUGAUGCUGAUGACAAGUUGAGUAGUGAGACUGGCACAGACUGUGAGGAUGAGGAGGUGAAAAUUGAGGGAGAUUUCACUGGGCAGCCAAAUAGAUUACCCGAGGUGUUCCCAUCCUACAGUUAUUUAGCACACAGUGUGAGUGAUCUUUAUCAUGAAGGAAGCUCCACUGAAGAAGACUAGAUAUUGAUGGUGAGAAACUGUCAUCCUGUCUGUGUACAAAAAUUUACAUUACUUAGGGGGGUCAGUCAAGGUUAGGUAACUUGUAGGUACGUAAUGUAAGAUAUUGUGUGUAAUCAACUAAAAUUAAUCAAACAUAAUUAUGCCUUGGUGCUCAUGUGCAGUGGAGGUGCACAGUAGUCUGCUGGAGGGGGUGCACGAUGGAUUUAACAACAAAAUGACUCACACGUGUAAGAAGUGAUGUUUUCUUGGAUUUUGAUUCAUGAAUUCAAAAGAUAAAGCUUUAUUUUUUAGUUAUGGGUGAUUUCUCAUUGCACAUGUGCAGUAAACGUAUACCGUAAUCUGCCCCAUGUGUUUGCCCUACUGAACUUUGAAUGCCCAGUUGAUCUCGCACCGAGGCAUCAGCACCCCUGGUGCUAUUACUAUUAGCACAGGUAAUAGGUCUUGUGGACUGUUUAAAGACUAGACAGAUUUGGGUGGGUCAAUGAAGUCCCGGAUGUUGCAUGGCAACACAUCAGGUUGUGUGUGUUGACCUGACCAUCUCUUGUGUUUAUAUACUGUUUGACGUUGACACUGCUGGCAGCAGAUCCUUCCUGAAUUGGCUCAUGGUCACAGCACACAAUUGAAGCUGCACAAAGGGCAAUCACUGUGAAGAUUCCUAGGUCGACAGCAGAAUCAGUAGGACAUGCUUUACUCUGCGUAGAUCACUACGGGAGACUACCUGCUGGGGUGUGCACAGUGCCUCCAAAGAAUAGAAACUUGUCCAUAACUUUCUUACGCAGGGCUGUGGAAGAAAAUAGAAAAUACUGGACUGUCGGCAAGGCACUGCCACUGUUAACAUACAAUUAGAAUUGUUGCCGUCUUCUACAAUUGAGAAUAUACAGACCUGUUGUCUUG